GUGAGUGAAUGGGACAAAGGGUGUGUGAGAGGAAGGAGACUAAGAGAGAGAGUUGCUCUGUUACAGCAGCAGCAGGGUGAGAAGAGGUGAGGCGGGGUGAGACAGCCCUCUCGUGACAAGCGCUACUCUCCCUCUCCGCUAGCUGUAGCUCUCCCUCUGUCUCUGUCCGGCCCCGGCCCUCAGCCAUUUUGGAAAGGGGAGAGAAAAGUGGCUGCUUUCUCUCUCUCUCUCUCUCUCUAUGUCUCUCACUACGUGGCGUAGAUUGGAAAGGCUGGGGCUGAGGCGAGGGCUGCUCUGUUAUGGAGAGGGCGGAGGAGAGGUCCCUGCUGUAUUUUCACUGAAAGAGUCGGCCUACUCUGUCCACCAAGCCUGACUCCAUUUUGAUGCCAGACGAAGAGACGAGGACUGACCAGCCCUUUGGUUCCCACACCAUGUUGGCUCCAGCCCACACCAUUGGCUACCCACUACCACACCACGUGUCCGUCACCGGCUGCGGGCAGCCUUUGCUUCCGGGUAUGCUGGAAUAAAGACCCUAGCUACGGCAAUCGUGCUGGCUUUGUAGUGCCUGUCCAGAAUUGCGCGUUCAUGUGUAUGGGCGGAUUGGAAGACACCAUGUCAGUAGUGGUGGGGUUAUAUAAAUGUGUUAUAUAUUGUGCUAUAUUCAAUUAUGCUAAACCUAUUGCAAAGGUACAAUGAAGAUAAUUCAUAAAAUGUUUAGCUGAGUGGAAAAUGUACGCUUUGAUGUUUGUAAUGGCUUGAUUUGUAUGUUUGGUAUGUUCUUAAGGGAGGGGCUUCCCCCUACAAAAGGAGACUCUCAAUUCAAGAGGGCCUUUUCAUUGAGCUGUUAAUGGGACUGCACUGCUGUCCCCAUAAUGUAUACUUUUGUGGCAGUACUGGUUUCUUUCGGAAUCAUCAUGUAAAUGAACGCCCUUGCACAGAAGUGCUUAUGCAGGUCCGCCAUCAUUUUAUUUGGUACAUUUUAAGUUUAAUUUAAUGUAGGAUUAAGUUGCAGUUAAGGUUUUUCAGUUUAGCCUUCUGGCCUACUCUAUGUGACAGUGCUUGGGACUAUAAGAUUCUAUCAGCAUUUGUCAACAUUUCACAUCAAAUCAAAGUUUGUCACAUGUGCCAAAUACAAAUACAGGUGUAGACCUUACAGUGAAAUUCUUACUUACAGGCCCUAACCAACAGUGCAAUUUUUAAGUAAAAAAUAGGUAUCAAGUGAACAAUAGAUAAGUAAGGAAAUAGAAAUCAACAGUAAAAAGACAGUGAAUAAUAACAGUGGCGAGGCUAUAACAGUAGCGAGGCUAUAGUCGGGCUAAUUGAGGUAGUAUGUACAUGUAGGUAUGGUUAAAGUGACUAUGCAUAUAUGAUAAACAGAGAGUAGCAGUGGCGUAAAAGAGGGUAUUUUUUUUAUUUUAUUUUUUAUUUAUUUUUUAAGUCAUUUUAGCAGACGCUCUUAUCCAGAGCGACUUACAGUAGUGAAUGCAUACAUUUCAUACAUUUUUUUAAAAAAUUUCUGUGCUGGCCCCCCGUGGGAAUCGAACCCACAACCCUGGCAUUGCAAACACCAUGCUCUACCAACUGAGCUACAGGGAAGGCUAGGGGGGUUGGGGGGUUGGUAGGUAGUCCGGGUAGCCAAUGUGCGAGGGCACCGGUUAGUCGGGCUAAUUGAGGUAGUAUGUACAUGAAUGUACAGUAUAGUUAAAGUGACUAUGCAUAUAUGGUAAACAGAGAGUAACAGCACUGUAAAUGUUGUGCUCUAUUCAAUGUUCUCUACCUAUAUAGUACUCGAAAUACCCACAUUCGGGUUGUUAAGUUCAAAACAAUACAUGAUAAAAAAUUGCUGACACCAUUCAAACCAAUGAGGGUUUGGAAAUUUAAAGUAAAUUAUCUCAGAAUCAUAUUUUUGCAGAUAGAACCUUACAGUCCCAAGCUUUUGUGGCCACAGUGUGAAUUGAAUGUGCAAUCCUGGAAUUGCUAGGAUAACGUUCUUAUCAACUGACUCACACAGGACCACAGACAGACCUCCAAACUCACUCAACUCACUGAAUAAUGUAAACUGUACAUUAAAAAAUCUUUAUAAUGAAUAUGAACACUACCAUCAUUUCUGAAGGCUUAACCUACCAUUCCCCAUUUGCCUUGUUGAGCAGAAAGCGACCAAUAUUUAGUUCUGUAAUCUCUACCACUACACCAACUUUUUUCUAUAAUGAGCUGAGGUUUAUUACAAAAUGCAGGAACGUUCAACAAGUUCAGUCUAUAUUUGUUGGGAUUCCAAUUUGGAUGGUUAUAGGUUUACUCUUCAGAUGCCAUAAUAUGUUAGUGUCAUCUAUCUAACAAUAGCUCUGUUAUCUCCUGAGUGGGAAUGUGACUCUUCUAGACAUGUCUUUACUGUGAGUUCAGUGACACAUACUGGAGUGCAAUUUUAAGUAGGUGAGGGGUUAAUUUUCACUAAGCAAUAUCUCUGUUUGAUGCCACAUUUGAUACAUUCUUGCCAUCAGUCAAUUGGCUUGCACUGUGUAAACAUAAGCACCUUGUGAUACACUGACACCAAGGUUGAUACUGCAUUGCUAAACAAAUGCAGACCACAGACCAGAGCGACAUUUUAAAAAUCCAUCGGACAGCUCUGAAUCUCACAGUUCGGUUUCGUACUCCAUUAGCUUGGACUGGCCUUGUUAGGCUUGUCUGGUCCACCCAACCCAAUAACUUUACAGAGAUAGAUAGCAGACUCAUCUAUAUAUUUCUGCCAUUAUAGCAUUUGUGACAGCCUGGGCAGCGCCAUUGAUACUACAACCCAUAGGAAUCCCCAUCCAGCUGACUACUUUGACUACUUUAACAUGGCGGAGGCAUGGUGGAAUCCCUCAAUGGCUCUGCCCAUGCAAAAAUGGCCUUUUGGCCACUAGAGGCCUCUCUCAUUCUCUAUGGUCUCCCUCCCAUUUCCCUGGGCAGCAGGCAGCCAGGCCAAAGUGAACCAGCGGACGCCCCAUGUUGGUUCGAGGUGGUAGUGGUAUGAAGUGGUGUGUGCCGGGGUGGAUUGGGGAGUGGUGUGACGAUGAGAGAGGGUUUCCGCUCUAACUCUUUGUUCUCUGUCCCAAGGCCACCGGUUGAGGUGGGGGGGUAAGGGUUGGGGGAGGGGGAGACUGAGGGGAGAGGUGAAAAGUUCACAGCUCCUAGACGGGGGAGGGGAAGGGGGGUGUACAAUGAGGGGGAGGUAGGAAUGUACAUUAACCCCGCUGACUUACUCUGUCACAAUUUACGAUCGUCUCCCUCUGUGCUCAAAAAACAGGAGGGAAUAUAACAACAUAUUUUGUCAGUGAGUGUGCGUGUGUGUCUCUUAUUGUGUGUGUGUGUGCUUGUUAGUGUUUGCGUUUUUCCCUGUCUCUCACGCUCUCACUUACCCUUUCUGGGUGUUAGUAAAUGGCUGUCAAUAUACUGUGGCUGCUGUGGUGUGGAGCGUCUAAUAUUAGCUGGCUGUGUGUGUGUGCUUGUGCGGGCUGAUGGAUGAGAGUGGCUCAAGGUGACAGUGAUAAGGGGUGGUUAGAGAAAGAAAAAUACAGGGAUUCUCUCUCUGCAAUACAAAGAUGAUUUGAGCACCAGACCAACUGUGGACUCCUGCAGCUGCAUGUGAUGUGAUGAUGAGCACACAGAGCAUGUGAUGUCUGUCUGUGACACAGUGAAGGAUUGGCUUAGUAUGGAAACACAUAGGAAUGGACUGAUUGCUUAGUAUGAAAGCACAUAGAAAUUGUUAUCUCUAAGGGUGGACACAGCUAGGCUCUACCUAAUGAAUCUGCAAGAGAAUGUGAGAUAAAGUGAGUAUGUUAUGAGAAAAAAAAGUAUUUACCUAUCACCUCAUGUCUAGGCUAGACACUAUCAUGUUAUACUAUGCUAUAACUGUUUCCAUUAUUAGCUUUUUGUUAUGGAUAUUGAUAUAUUCAAUGGAAAAUAAGAGAAGUAACAAGGUAGCGUGAGAGAGAGAGAGAAUGUGGACAUUGAUUCUGCUGUCAUUGAUUUGUGCCCUCUGCAUGUCGUCCCUCAGCAGUCCCUGUCGCUGCAUUUCUCUCUUUCCUCUCUCCGUCUCUCUCUUUUCAUCUCCUGUUUAAAUUAAAACAUUUACCGGUCCUAAGCUCAUGUUGAUAAGAUAUUUAGACAGGCACAUCACAUAAAAUAGUUUAUAUCUUUCUUUCCCCCUCUCUCUCUCUCUCUCUCUCUCUCUUUCUCUCUCUCUCUCUCUCUCACUCUCUCUUUCUCUGAGUCUGCAUGAACUCAUUCACUCCGUUCCCUCGCCUGCUCUUGCUCACUCCCUCCCUCUCUCCCUAUUCUCUCUCUUGCUCCCUCCCUCUCUCCCUUGCUCCCUCCCUCUCUCCCUAUUCUCUCUCUAGUUCCCUCCCUUCAUGAAACACACUCUCUAUUACCCAGUUGCACAGAGAGGGAUCGAGAGACAGGAACAGCGCUAAGAGGGAAUGGGAGAGGAGAGAAUGCCGGACAUGCUGACCAGAAACGGAUUCAGAUUUUUUUAUUUGGACAGAAAAGGAGCAUGAAAACGGGACAUUAUGACACGGCAGGCUUCCGCUUGUUUUCUCUCUUGGCCAUUGGACACAUGAGGCAGUGGUUCACAUGUGCAAGAUUAGGACACACCGGGAGAAGGGGAGAGAAAGGACACAGAUCAGACUGCGGCAGCCUCAGCAACCAUGACGAGAACGGUGAACUCCAAUCAAGUUGUAGGAACAUCUUAAGGAUGAUCAAUGGAAACAGGAUGCACCUGAGCUAAAUGUUCUGUCUCAUAGCAAAGGGUUUUUGCUUUUGUCAUUAUGGGGUAUCUUUCCUAAUGCGCUGUAUUUUAAGUCAGCCUCAUUCAUGUACUCUAUGACCUGUAUACAAUUUAGAUCAUGUGGUAUGUAGCCUUACAAAAUGUUUGUUA
RNAcentral lists this long non-coding RNA (4915 nucleotides) under Salmo salar (Atlantic salmon). Its description in RNAcentral is "lncRNA (ENSSSAG00000095650.1)". The record is from RNAcentral. Lineage: Eukaryota; Metazoa; Chordata; Actinopteri; Salmoniformes; Salmonidae.